UGAAUACGAGGCACUAAGGUGCUGAAGUAGUGUAUGUCAUACUUCCAAGAAAAGCUUGCACUAUCGUAAGAUAAAAAUGCCUGUACCAUAACCGACACAGGUGGGUAGGUAGAGUAUACUAAGGGGCGCGAGAUAACUCUCUCUAAGGAACUCGGCAAAAUAACUCCGUAACUUCGGGAGAAGGAGUGCCUUAUUCUAUAAGGUUGCAAUAACAAGAUCCAAGCAACUGUUUAUCAAAAACACAGGUCUCCGCUAAGUCGUAAGACGAUGUAUGGGGGCUGACGCCUGCCCAGUGCCAGAAGGUUAAAGAAGUCGGUUAGCAAUUGCGAAGCUGGUAACUGAAGCCCUGGUGAACGGCGGCCGUAACUAUAACGGUCCUAAGGUAGCGAAAUUCCUUGUCGGGUAAGUUCCGACCCGCACGAAAGGCGUAAUGAUUUGGAUACUGUCUCGGAGAGGGACUCGGUGAAAUAGACUUGUCUGUGAAGAUGCGGACUACCUGCACCAGGACAGAAAGACCCUAUGAAGCUUUACUGUAACUUGAAAUUGAAAUUGGACUUUAUUCGCGCAGUAUAGGUGGGAGGCGUUGAUUAUAAUCUUGUGGGAUUAUUGGAGCCAUUAGUGAGAUACCACUCUUGUAAUGUUAGAUUUCUAACUUUGAAUCAUGAUCUGGUCAAAGAACAGUUUCAGGCGGGCAGUUUGACUGGGGCGGUCGCCUCCUAAAUGGUAACGGAGGCGUACAAAGGUUUCCUCUGAACGGGUAGAAAUCGUAUCUAGAGUGUAAAGGCAUAAGGAAGCUUGACUGUGAGACCUACAAGUCGAGCAGGGACGAAAGUCGGUCUUAGUGAUCUGACGGUACUGAGUGGAAAGGCCGUCACUCAACGGAUAAAAGUUACUCUAAGGAUAACAGGCUGAUCUCCCCCAAGAGUUCACAUCGACGGGGAGGUUUGGCACCUCGAUGUCGGCUCAUCGCAUCCUGGGGCGGUAGUACGUCCCAAGGGUUGGGCUGUUCGCCCAUGAAAGCGGUACGCGAGCUGGGUUCAGAACGUCGUGAGACAGUUCGGUCCAUAUCCGGUGUAGGCGUUAGAAUAUUGAGAGGAGCCUUCUUUAGUACGAGAGGACCGAGAAGGACAUACCUCUGGUGUACCAGUUAUCGUGCCAACGGUAAACGCUGGGUAGCUAUGUAUGGAGUGGAUAACCGCUGAAAGCAUCUAAGUGGGAAGCCCACCUCAAGAUAAG
This 1236-nucleotide ribosomal RNA is filed under the name metagenome. Its description in RNAcentral is "bacterial LSU rRNA". It matches the Rfam family "Bacterial large subunit ribosomal RNA", at positions 1564 to 2808 of the family's 2925-position model. The record is from RNAcentral.